RNAcentral lists this ribosomal RNA (327 nucleotides) under uncultured eukaryote. Its description in RNAcentral is "partial 18S ribosomal RNA". It matches the Rfam family "Eukaryotic small subunit ribosomal RNA", at positions 1470 to 1796 of the family's 1831-position model. The record is from RNAcentral.
CCCUUAGAUGUUCUGGGCCGCACGCGCGCUACACUGAUUCAUGCAACAAGUUUUGUCCUUGGCUGAUAGGCCUGGGUAAUCUUUGAACGUGAAUCGUGAUUGGGAUAGAUGAUUGCAAUUAUUCAUCUUCAACGAGGAAUUCCUAGUAAACGCAAGUCAUCAGCUUGCAUUGAUUACGUCCCUGCCCUUUGUACACACCGCCCGUCGCACCUACCGAUUGAAUGGUCCGGUGAAAUCUUCGGAUCUGAGAGAUGUCUGAUUAAUUUCGGACGCCUUUUGGAAAAGUUGCUUAAACCUUACCAUUUAGAGGAAGGUGAAGUCGUAACA